GAUGAACGCUGGCGGCGCGCCUAACACAUGCAAGUCGAACGGCACCCCUCCUCGGAGGGCAGCGAGUGGCGAACGGCUGAGUAACACGUGGAGAACCUGCCCCCUCCCCCGGGAUAGCCGCCCGAAAGGACGGGUAAUACCGGAUACCCCGGGGUGCCGCAUGGCACCCCGGCUAAAGCCCCGACGGGAGGGGAUGGCUCCGCGGCCCAUCAGGUAGACGGCGGGGUGACGGCCCACCGUGCCGACAACGGGUAGCCGGGUUGAGAGACCGACCGGCCAGAUUGGGACUGAGACACGGCCCAGGCUCCUACGGGAGGCAGCAGUGGGGGAUCUUGCGCAAUGGGGGGAACCCUGACGCAGCGACGCCGCGUGCGGGACGGAGGCCUUCGGGUCGUAAACGGCUUUCAGCAGGGAAGAGUCAAGACUGUACCUGCAGAAGAAGCCCCGGCUAACUACGUG
RNAcentral lists this ribosomal RNA (459 nucleotides) under uncultured bacterium. Its description in RNAcentral is "partial 16S ribosomal RNA". It matches the Rfam family "Bacterial small subunit ribosomal RNA", at positions 28 to 507 of the family's 1533-position model. The record is from RNAcentral.